RNAcentral lists this ribosomal RNA (449 nucleotides) under uncultured bacterium. RNAcentral describes it as "bacterial SSU rRNA". It matches the Rfam family "Bacterial small subunit ribosomal RNA", at positions 337 to 796 of the family's 1533-position model. The record is from RNAcentral.
UCCUACGGGAGGCAGCAGUGGGGAAUAUUGCACAAUGGACGCAAGUCUGAUGCAGCGACGCCGCGUGGGGGAUGAAGGCUUUCGGGUUGUAAACUCCUUUCAGUACAGAAGAAGCAUUUUUGUGACGGUAUGUGCAGAAGAAGCGCCGGCUAACUACGUGCCAGCAGCCGCGGUAAUACGUAGGGCGCGAGCGUUGUCCGGAAUUAUUGGGCGUAAAGAGCUCGUAGGCGGUUUGUUGCGCCUGCUGUGAAAGACCGGGGCUUAACUUCGGGGUUGCAGUGGGUACGGGCAGACUAGAGUGUGGUAAGGGUAAUUGGAAUUCCUGGUGUAGCGGUGGAAUGCGCAGAUAUCAGGAGGAACACCGAUGGCGAAGGCAGGUUACUGGGCCAUUACUGACGCUGAGGAGCGAAAGCGUGGGUAGCGAACAGGAUUAGAUACCCUGGUAGUCC